CUUUCCCUUCUUCUCAGCUUCAUCCCAUUGCUCGUUCAAUCUCAGGGUAACAACAACAACAACAACAACUAUCGUGUCUCACAAACUUAUCAUUUACCACCUCCACCGCACGCUCAUCGUAACCAUUUGGCACCCAAGAGAAGUUCCCAUCAUUCCAAUUCCAUUCAGCCUGCAACGGAUCACAGGGGGCAUAGAAAUGGGGAGAAGCAUAACAAAGAAAAACACACUGUGGGAAAGCAGGUCGGCUUCUGCUUUUUACUUGUGGCUGCUGCAUUGCAAGUUUGCGCCGCAGCGUUCUUGAUAUCUAAGCGUCGCCAAUUGUUCAAGGAUCAAGACAUUUUUUCCUGAACAUUUCCCUAUUCAAUCGGAUGGAUUUGGACCGUGGAGAUGAGUUGUAUUAUGUGCUGUGUUUCACUCUAUAUGGAUUACACACAUUCGGGUUGUGCAAAUGUACAUUGGUAAACCUUGUUUAACAUUCCUUCAUCAUGUCGCGAUUUAUAAAUAUGCAAUAUGUUGUCUACUUGACUCAGGUUAACAGAUUAUUAUAGCGGAAGGGAACGAUCAUUUUCACCCUAUUAGUAUUAUGAUGUUAGGGAAUCAUUAAUUAGAAGAGAAUCCUUGUAAAGCUUUUUUUGUGUUCUAGAGACGGAGGCUCCGGCUUCCCUUGUGUGAGUCCUGUAGGAAGUAAUCUUGAUAGGAUGAACAUUGCGGUAUAAAAAAAAUCAUUAAAUUUCAGUUUUCCAAGUGUUGUCUAUUGUCAACUUUAUAAACUAGUUAUAUACCUAAAUUUUGUUUUCCAUUAUUAAAGUUGAGACCUGGACUUGUCAUUUUAGUUGAGUUUAUGCGAUAUAAUCAACCUAAUUCAUUAGAAGGAUGCAUACUUUAAUCUCUGCAUGUAGAGAGAAUAUUGUCAAUGCAAUUAACUAGUGUAAUCAAGUUAUGAGCUUUGGGAUCAUAAUGGAACUCAGAAGCAACGAUUUAUUCUACACUUUGCCCUAGCUCAACUUGCAGUGGAUCAGGUUCUAGAUGAAAGAGUGUAACUGUUUGCCUGUGAUGUUNNNNNNNNNNUAACUGUUUGCCUGUGAUGUUGUUGUUGUCUUUUAGUGGUGAGGUUUAUUGGCAAUGGAGUGUAGAUACCUUCUUAGCUUUGAAAUUAUUCAUUUUGUGUUGGUUCUAAUGUUUAUUGACUAUUGAACCUUAAGGUAGGCAACUCUAACAGUAAAGUUUAAUUAAAAGUCAUUAAUUUGCGGAGAAGCCUUAGUGAAUUCAACAAGAUAACUCAAUAUGAUAAAUGCGUGUUCAAUGUGCAUUUCUCUUUUAAGGAAUGGGUAAAAUAUGUAAAUGUGAUUAAAAGUAAAAUUUAAGCUUAUCUGACAUGUCCACACGUAGAUUAUUUUGCAUAUUCUUUAUACCUCUGAUCUGCUGUAUAAUGGUGUUCUCGAAAAUCAUUAGACAGACUUGUGAAUUUGUUGGGGAAUUCUAAUAAUAUAGUUCUGCAGCUGGGAAUAGGCAAAGAAUUUCGGUAGAGUCACUCCUGCAUGAUUUUGUGAUGCAGGGCAUGAAAAGUCAUGUAUGGAUUAAAAACAGACAUGAAAAUUAAUAUCUGUCUAACAUGAAGAUCCAGUUUCUAAAGUAAGCA
Molecule: long non-coding RNA, 1639 nt
Filed under: Daucus carota (carrot)
Lineage: Eukaryota; Viridiplantae; Streptophyta; Magnoliopsida; Apiales; Apiaceae
Description: long non-coding RNA (DCAR_LNC005349)
Source: RNAcentral